This 72-nucleotide transfer RNA is filed under the name Fukomys damarensis (Damara mole-rat). It matches the Rfam family "tRNA". From Rfam's summary of the family: Transfer RNA (tRNA) molecules are approximately 80 nucleotides in length. Their secondary structure includes four short double-helical elements and three loops (D, anti-codon, and T loops). The record is from Rfam by way of RNAcentral. Lineage: Eukaryota; Metazoa; Chordata; Mammalia; Rodentia; Bathyergidae.
AGAGGUGCAGCUCAGUGGCAGAGCUCUUGCCUGGUAUGCAUGAGGCCCUGGGCUUGAUUCCCAGCACCAAUA